RNAcentral lists this transfer RNA (72 nucleotides) under Marmota monax (woodchuck). It matches the Rfam family "tRNA". Rfam says of the family: Transfer RNA (tRNA) molecules are approximately 80 nucleotides in length. The record is from Rfam by way of RNAcentral. Lineage: Eukaryota; Metazoa; Chordata; Mammalia; Rodentia; Sciuridae.
GGGGUUGUGGCUCAGUGGUAGAGUGCCUGCCUAGCAUGCAUGAGGCACUGGGUUCAAUCCUCAGCACCACUU